AUACAUGCAAGUCGAUCGCACAGCGAAAGGUGCUUGCACCUUUCAAGUGAGUGGCGAACGGGUGAGUAACACGUGGAUAACCUGCCUCAAGGCUGGGGAUAACAUUUGGAAACAGAUGCUAAUACCGAAUAAAACUUCAUCUUGCAUGAGAAGAAGUUAAAAGGCGCUACGGCGUCACCUAGAGAUGGAUCCGCGGUGCAUUAGUUAGUUGGUGGGGUAAAGGCUUACCAAGACGAUGAUGCAUAGCCGAGUUGAGAGACUGAUCGGCCACAUUGGGACUGAGACACGGCCCAAACUCCUACGGGAGGCUGCAGUAGGGAAUCUUCCACAAUGGGCGAAAGCCUGAUGGAGCAACGCCGCGUGUGUGAUGAAGGCUUUCGGGUCGUAAAGCACUGUUGUAUGGGAAGAACAGCUAGAAUAGGGAAUGAUUUUAGUUUGACGGUACCAUACCAGAAAGGGACGGCUAAAUACGUGCCAGCAGCCGCGGUAAUACGUAUGUCCCGAGCGUUAUCCGGAUUUAUUGGGCGUAAAGCGAGCGCAGACGGUUGAUUAAGUCUGAUGUGAAAGCCCGGAGCUCAACUCCGGAAAGGCAUGGAAACUGGUCAACUG
This 609-nucleotide ribosomal RNA is filed under the name Leuconostoc inhae. RNAcentral's name for it is "bacterial SSU rRNA". It matches the Rfam family "Bacterial small subunit ribosomal RNA", at positions 51 to 643 of the family's 1533-position model. The record is from RNAcentral. Lineage: Bacteria; Bacillati; Bacillota; Bacilli; Lactobacillales; Lactobacillaceae.